UACAGAGGUGGCAAGCGUUGUUCGGAAUUACUGGGCGUAAAGGGCGCGUAGGCGGUCUUUUAAGUCUUGUGUGAAAUCCCUCGGCUCAAACUGAGGAACUGCACGGGAUACUGGAAGACUUGAGUUCGGGAGAGGGAAGCGGAAUUCCGGGUGUAGCGGUGAAAUGCGUAGAUAUCCGGAGGAACACCGGUGGCGAAGGCGGCUCCUGGACCGAUUACUGUCGCUGAGCGCGAAGCU
Molecule: ribosomal RNA, 237 nt
Filed under: uncultured bacterium
Lineage: Bacteria
Description: partial 16S ribosomal RNA
Rfam family: Bacterial small subunit ribosomal RNA
Source: RNAcentral